Molecule: long non-coding RNA, 510 nt
Filed under: Homo sapiens (human)
Lineage: Eukaryota; Metazoa; Chordata; Mammalia; Primates; Hominidae
Description: non-protein coding LINC01270:8
Source: RNAcentral
GGCAGACGUGUGAUGAAACACGUUUAUUACAGGAAGCACCAGUUAGCCCAGAUGCUUCUCAUCUUUGGAGUUGAGCUGCAGGCUGGAGACCUGGAAGGCCCUCGCAGCGCCUGCUCCCAUCCUCUCACCUCACGAAAGCGCAGGAAUGUGGGUUUGGAGCCAAUGAAAAGUACUGGAAUCUGGCUCUGCUCUGUGACCCUGGACAAGUCACUGCCCCUCUCUGGGCUUCAGUUUCCUCCUUGCUCCAUGAGGGCAGGGGAUUUUGUCUGUUUCAUUCACAAUGUGUUCCCAGAGCUCAGCACAGUGUCAGGCACACACUAGGUAACAGCACCUCGACUUCCUACUGAAGAACCCCCUCUUCCCUUUUCUCAGUCCAUGAGGCUGGGGGUGCCCAGAGGCCUCUGUCUCCAGGGGUGGACAUGUGACCGGGUCUUGCUCUAGUGAUUGGUCCAGGGAUGGGCACAUGACUGAGCCUGCCCAAUGAAACUUGAUCUUGGGACUUCAGGGUUG